UUCUAUUAUCCUACCCACUCUCUCCUCACCCCUCCAUCAAUAUUCUCUCUUUCUCACGAUCAAGAGACACAAAUGAUCAAGGCCAUACAACCAAGAUCAAAUCUACACAAUUUCGAUCAAGGCCACGCAAUCACCAUCAAGGCCACACAACAUCUUCAUCCUACUUUCUCUCUCUCUUCCAUCAUUUUGGUAAUUCGGGUUGUGGGUUUUCGAUUUUGGGUGGUUUGGGUUGUAAGUUUUCGGUUUUCGGUUUUCGGUGGUUGUGGGUUGUUGGUUUUUGAAUUUUGAUUGUGGGUUUUCGAUUUGGGUGGUUGUGGUUUGUGAGUUUUUGGUUUUGGGUGGUUGUGGUUUGUGGGUUUUGGGUGGUUAUGGGUUGUUGGUUUUCGAAUUUUGAUUGUGAGUUUUCGAUUUGGGUGAUUGUGGUUUGUGGGUUUUCGGUUUUGGGUAGUUGUGGUUUGUGGGUUUUCGGUUUUCGGUGGUUGUGGGUUGUUGGUUUUCGAAUUUUGAUUGUGGGAAAGCCUCGGCUUAGUAAAUUCUACGAUUUCCAGGAUUCUCGACUCGUUUACAAGCAUUAUGCAACCCUAACCCUUUACUUCGUAUUUGUGUAUGACAAUGCUGAAAAUGCCCUUAGCAGAGGAAAAACCUCUAUUCCACUUGCUGUAUUUUUAUCUUUGCUACAAGGCUAUAACAUCUGAAUUCUUUUGAUCAAUGUGUCUCUUACUCUUUACUUACUUCAUCAAGGCUUUGUCCUUACAUGAGCUUGCAGCUUUUCUAGAAACUUUGGACAAAUGCUUCAAGAAUGUCUGUGAGCUUGACAUAGUGUACAAUUAUGGUAAGGUAAAACUCAUUUAUGUAAUAUUACUAAUACAGAAACUUUGCCAGCAACCAGCUUUUGUAUAGUCA
Long non-coding RNA from Beta vulgaris subsp. vulgaris (sugar beet), 903 nucleotides. RefSeq lists it as uncharacterized. The transcript has 2 exons. Lineage: Eukaryota; Viridiplantae; Streptophyta; Magnoliopsida; Caryophyllales; Amaranthaceae. The record is from RefSeq and is a predicted model, not a curated record.